Molecule: ribosomal RNA, 869 nt
Filed under: uncultured bacterium
Lineage: Bacteria
Description: bacterial SSU rRNA
Rfam family: Bacterial small subunit ribosomal RNA
Source: RNAcentral
GCGUUGUUCGGAAUUACUGGGCUUAAAGCGCGUGUAGGCGGAAUGUCAGGUGUCUGGUGAAAGCCCCGGGCUCAACCCGGGAACGGCCGGGCAAACCGGCAUUCUUGAGGCAGGUAGAGGUGACUGGAACGACUAGUGGAGCGGUGAAAUGCGUAGAUAUCAGUUGGAACGCCAGCGGCGAAAGCGAGUCACUGGGCCUGUCCUGACGCUGAGACGCGAAAGCGUGGGUAGCGAACAGGAUUAGAUACCCUGGUAGUCCACGCCGUAAACGAUGCGCACUAGGUAUAAGAGGUUUUGACGCCGAUUGUGCCGAAGCAAAAGUGCUAAGUGCGCCGCCUGGGGAGUACGGCCGCAAGGCUAAAACUCAAAGGAAUUGACGGGGGCUCACACAAGCGGUGGAGCAUGUGGAUUAAUUCGAAGCAACGCGAAGAACCUUACCUGGGUUUGACAUGCGCGGAUGCCCUCUUGGAAACAGGAGUAAGCUGCCUUCGGGUGAAACGUGCACAGGUGCUGCAUGGCUGUCGUCAGCUCGUGCUGUGAAGUGUCGGGUUAAGUCCCUCAACGAGCGAAACCCCUAUCGUUAGUUGCCAGCGGGUUAUGCCGGGAACUCUAGCGAGACCGCCGGUGUCAAACCGGAGGAAGGUGGGGACGACGUCAAGUCAUCAUGGCCCUUAUGCCCAGGGUGUCACACGUGCUACAAUGGGCGGUACAGAGCGACGCGAGACCGAGAGGUGGAGCAAAUCGCACAAAGCCGUCCUCAGUUCGGAUUGGAGUCUGCAACUCGACUCCAUGAAGUUGGAAUCGCUAGUAAUCGCGGAUCAGCCAUGCCGCGGUGAAUGUGUUCCUGAGCCUUGCACACACCGCCCGUC